GGAGCCUGCGGCCCUGAGCCAAGGCCGGGGUCACAGGUGCCGGAGCUUUCCCGGAGCGGAUCCGCUGGGGAGACCGAGCCCCCGGCAUUUGCUCAGGCAGAGUUGUAAGGGUGCUGACAACGCUCUUGGCUGGGGCCACAGGCAGGCGGAAUCCAGCCGUGGAGUGACAGGUUCUGGAACCAGUCUAGGGACAGCUUGGUUUUCCAGCCCUGCCGCCCGAGACCAGGUUGGCGUUAAGGCCCCAGCUCACCGCCCAGCUGUGGACGGGAGCGUCCGGGUCAGGUGGACACCAGCCGCCUUUGUCUGAAGGUGACUCGAGAGAGACGUCGACCGUUUUAUACCCCGAAAACUGCUGCGUGGUUCGUCCCUGCGGCUGCCAACACGGUUUCUCGCUGUUUUCCUUCUGCAGGUCUGCGUUUCUCGUUCCAGGGUCUGAUCGUAGGAGAAAAUCGCCUUCGCGUAUGGCUUCCUCACCGGUGACUGCCUUUGCGGGUUCUCUCAGGAGCUCGAUCAGACCCUUGACAUCUUUCCCUGGUGUCUUUUCAGCUUCCGACGGCGCCUAGAAAAGUCCCGGCUCCGCUGCGUUAGUUCAGUAGCGACUCAGGUGACUGAGCCUGCCUGCCGUUUGCGUGAACUAACUGGGAUGAGCCGGAAGGAGCCCCUGAGUGACAAUAUGACAUUUUCAGAUUGAGCAAUUAAGGCAGGGCUGCCCUCAGGGAGCUCCUCCUUCAAACAGGUCUUAAAAGAAAAGGCAACAGGACUUCAGAGACAGGUUACGAGGAAUUGUAGAAGAGGCUAGAAUGCAACAAAAGAGAUCAACUGGAGCUGCCAAAUCUCAGGAAACACGUGGAAGGGAAAAAAGCCGUUACAUAAAUGAGAGUCAAGCUGGAGAUGCCAAGAGGAGAACAAGAGUGGCGGGGGUCUCAGGCCGGGGCUCCGAAGAGCGGCUUGGCAAGCUGCCCGCGUGAAACAGAAGGGAACGAAGAGCCGAGGUCGUGAGGGAGAGCAGAGAGAUCCGCAGCACAGAGAAUAUCCACCCACAGGUGCAGAUACGUGGUGUUCAUGGAGAAGGAAGUGGAACCACGACAGAUUCAGAGACAUAAAAAAAAGAGAAAGCUUUUGCAAAACUAAAGGAUGACUAAAUCCUCAGUUUAUAAAGGCACCUUGCAUUUCAGGAAAAAUUCAGGCAUUAUUACCUGAAUGAUUAACAAAUGAUUAGCACAGAUAUAAGUUGGUAAAGUUGCUGUGCUUCAAGUAAGGGUAAAUAAACAAACAAUACUGAUACUACCUCAAAAACAACAACAACAACAACAAAAAGACAAAGUCUGAGCACCGUGGCUCACUCCUGUACUCUGAGCAUUCUAGGAGGCUGAGGUGGGAGGAUCAAUUGAGGCCAGGAAGAUGCCAGCGGCUUAUCAGCGAUCUGAUCCACUCCUGCUAAGGGACAUUCACUGCAGCACUGUGCACGGUGACAGAGCUGUGGAUAUGACUCAAAUAUUGGGGCAGUGGGUAUACGAAAUACAGUGUGCUUGUGUGUGGGGAUACUUCAUAACAGCUGGAAGUAGAUGGAGGAGCUCCCCGCACAGCAACCUGAAAUGACGCUGAGAACAUGCCGUAGAGCGAAAAAAAUGUUGCAGAACGUUCCGGUGCCAUGCCACUUACAUGGCACUAGGGACACGCAGAAAAACAUUAUUUUGUGUAGCUCAUGGGAAAACCAUAUAACGUGUGCAUUGUGUACGGCAAAAUUAUGAAGACACACACGGGUUGCAUGCAAGCUGUGGGAGGAGGGUGGGGGCGGGAAAGGGAGGGAGGUGCGAAGGGUCCUCCGUGUUACCUGCAGAGCGUUCCUUCUCGCUUCUUCAACACGUCUCACGCGGACGAAAUUCCAGCGUCUGUGAGCUCUGCGUGGCAGAUAUGCGAGUGUUGAGUCGCUUUUUGUGCUUUUCUGCACGAGAAACCUCAAAGUCAGUAAAAGGAUGCUGAUCGCACCCGCCUCGCUCCUUUAGGGCCACUGCCAGGUGUCAGGGACGAAAUAUCCGUGAACUGUCUUUGUGAAAUGAACAGCUCUGUACAGA
This is a non-coding RNA of Microcebus murinus (gray mouse lemur), 2075 nucleotides long. Lineage: Eukaryota; Metazoa; Chordata; Mammalia; Primates; Cheirogaleidae. The record is from RefSeq and is a predicted model, not a curated record.